UGACGGUAUCAUAUGAAUAAGCACCGGCUGACUCCGUGCCAGCAGCCGCGGUAAUACGGGGGGUGCAAGCGUUACUCGGAAUCACUGGGCGUAAAGAGCAUGUAGGCGGGUGAAUAAGUUGGAAGUGAAAUCCUAUAGCUUAACUAUAGAACUGCUUCCAAAACUGUUCACCUAGAGUAUGGGAGAGGUAGAUGGAAUUUCUGGUGUAGGGGUAAAAUCCGUAGAGAUCAGAAGGAAUACCGAUUGCGAAGGCGAUCUACUGGAACAUUACUGACGCUCAGAUGCGAAAGCGUGGGGAGCAAACAGGAUUAGAUACCCUGGUAGUCCACGCCCUAAACGAUGUACACUAGUUGUUGCUAUACUAGAUAUGGCAGUAAUGCAGUUAACACUUUAAGUGUACCGCCUGGGGAGUACGGUCGCAAGAUUAAAACUCAAAGGAAUAGACGGGGACCCGCACAAGCGGUGGAGCAUGUGGUUUAAUUCGACGAUACGCGAAAAACCUUACCUGGCCUUGACAUAGUAGGAAUCUUUAAGAGAUUAGAGAGUGCUAGCUUGCUAGAACCUACAUACAGGUGCUGCACGGCUGUCGUCAGC
This 594-nucleotide ribosomal RNA is filed under the name uncultured bacterium. RNAcentral describes it as "bacterial SSU rRNA". It matches the Rfam family "Bacterial small subunit ribosomal RNA", at positions 470 to 1059 of the family's 1533-position model. The record is from RNAcentral.